Molecule: ribosomal RNA, 440 nt
Filed under: uncultured bacterium
Lineage: Bacteria
Description: partial 16S ribosomal RNA
Rfam family: Bacterial small subunit ribosomal RNA
Source: RNAcentral
CCUACGGGAGGCAGCAGUAGGGAAUAUUGCUCAAUGGGGGAAACCCUGAAGCAGCAACGCCGCGUGGAGGAUGAAGGUUUUCGGAUUGUAAACUCCUUUUGUUAGAGAAGACAAUGACGGUAUCUAACGAAUAAUCACCGGCCAACUCCGUGCCAGCAGCCGCGGUAACACGGAGGGCGCAAGCGUUACUCGGAAUCACUGGGCGUUAAGAGCGCGUAGGCGGGAUAGCAAGUCAGAUGUGAAAUCCUAGGGCUUAACCAUAGAACUGCAUUUGAAACUGUUAUUCUAGAGUAUGGGAGAGGUAGGUGGAAUUCUUGGUGUAGGGGUGAAAUCCGUAGAGAUCAGGAGGAAUACUCAUUGCGAAGGCGGCCUGCUAGAACAUAACUGACGCUGAUGCGCGAAAGCGUGGGGAGCAAACAGGAUUAGAUACCCGGGUAGUC